Molecule: ribosomal RNA, 383 nt
Filed under: uncultured bacterium
Lineage: Bacteria
Description: bacterial SSU rRNA
Rfam family: Bacterial small subunit ribosomal RNA
Source: RNAcentral
GACGAACGCUGGCGGCGUGCCUAACACAUGCAAGUCGAACGGGGUGAUUUCCUUCGGGAGAUCACUUAGUGGCGAACGGGUGAGUAACGCGUGAGGAACCUGCCUUUCAGUGGGGGACAACAGUUGGAAACGACUGCUAAUACCGCAUAAUGUAGCGAGACCGCAUGAUCUUGCUACCAAAGCUUUAUGUGCUGAAAGAUGGCCUCGCGUCUGAUUAGCUAGUUGGUGGGUAACGGCCCACCAAGGCGACGAUCAGUAGCCGGUCUGAGAGGAUGAACGGCCACAUUGGGACUGAGAUACGGCCCAGACUCCUACGGGAGGCAGCAGUGGGGAAUAUUGGGCAAUGGGGGAAACCCUGACCCAGCAACGCCGCGUGAAGGAAG